This 1050-nucleotide ribosomal RNA is filed under the name Salmonella enterica subsp. enterica serovar Schwarzengrund. RNAcentral describes it as "partial 23S ribosomal RNA". It matches the Rfam family "Bacterial large subunit ribosomal RNA", at positions 711 to 1758 of the family's 2925-position model. The record is from RNAcentral. Lineage: Bacteria; Pseudomonadati; Pseudomonadota; Gammaproteobacteria; Enterobacterales; Enterobacteriaceae.
AGACCCGAAACCCGGUGAUCUAGCCAUGGGCAGGUUGAAGGUUGGGUAACACUAACUGGAGGACCGAACCGACUAAUGUUGAAAAAUUAGCGGAUGACCUGUGGCUGGGGGUGAAAGGCCAAUCAAACCGGGAGAUAGCUGGUUCUCCCCGAAAGCUAUUUAGGUAGCGCCUCGUGAAUUCAUCUCCGGGGGUAGAGCACUGUUUCGGCUAGGGGGCCAUCCCGGCUUACCAACCCGAUGCAAACUGCGAAUACCGGAGAAUGUUAUCACGGGAGACACACGGCGGGUGCUAACGUCCGUCGUGAAGAGGGAAACAACCCAGACCGCCAGCUAAGGUCCCAAAGUCAUGGUUAAGUGGGAAACGAUGUGGGAAGGCCCAGACAGCCAGGAUGUUGGCUUAGAAGCAGCCAUCAUUUAAAGAAAGCGUAAUAGCUCACUGGUCGAGUCGGCCUGCGCGGAAGAUGUAACGGGGCUAAACCAUGCACCGAAGCUGCGGCAGCGACGCUGAUGCGUUGUUGGGUAGGGGAGCGUUCUGUAAGCCUGCGAAGGUGGCCUGUGAGGGUUGCUGGAGGUAUCAGAAGUGCGAAUGCUGACAUAAGUAACGAUAAAGCGGGUGAAAAGCCCGCUCGCCGGAAGACCAAGGGUUCCUGUCCAACGUUAAUCGGGGCAGGGUGAGUCGACCCCUAAGGCGAGGCCGAAAGGCGUAGUCGAUGGGAAACGGGUUAAUAUUCCCGUACUUGGUGUUACUGCGAAGGGGGGACGGAGAAGGCUAUGUUGGCCGGGCGACGGUUGUCCCGGUUUAAGCGUGUAGGUGUGUGUUCCAGGUAAAUCCGGUUCACUUUAACACUGAGGCGUGAUGACGAGGCACUACGGUGCUGAAGCAACAAAUGCCCUGCUUCCAGGAAAAGCCUCUAAGCAUCAGGUAACAUCAAAUCGUACCCCAAACCGACACAGGUGGUCAGGUAGAGAAUACCAAGGCGCUUGAGAGAACUCGGGUGAAGGAACUAGGCAAAAUGGUGCCGUAACUUCGGGAGAAGGCACGCUGACACG